Molecule: small nucleolar RNA, 160 nt
Organism: Cebus imitator (Panamanian white-faced capuchin)
Lineage: Eukaryota; Metazoa; Chordata; Mammalia; Primates; Cebidae
Source: Ensembl
AUAUCAUGUUUUAAAGACAUAAUGAUGUCACUGACUGGCUGAUGAACUCACAAGCAUAGGUAGUAUGUUUAUGCAACAUGAUGAGGGGCAAGUUUUUCUCUAACACCACAAGGGUCUCUGGCCCAAUGAGUGGAGUUUGAUUGUAGUUCUUGCUACAGGU